UUUUAGCCCCGACUGAAGCGACAUCCUUUUUUGAGGAGGCACGACGAAAAAAAGAUACAGCGGAAGGCGGGUGGAGUC
RNAcentral lists this small RNA (78 nucleotides) under Kaistella antarctica. Its description in RNAcentral is "Chryseobacterium antarcticum Flavo-1 RNA". It matches the Rfam family "Flavo-1 RNA". Lineage: Bacteria; Pseudomonadati; Bacteroidota; Flavobacteriia; Flavobacteriales; Weeksellaceae. The record is from RNAcentral.